AUGGAGGCAAACAUUGGAGAUCUGCAGCAGAGAAAGAAGAAAGGAGCAAAAGAUGGAGAUGGGGCUGCAGGUGACCCCAAAAAGGAGAAGAAAUCUCUAGACUCAGAUGAGAGUGAGGAUGAAGAAGAUGACUACCAGCAAAAGCGCAAAGGCGUCGAAGGGCUCAUCGACAUCGAGAACCCCAACCGGGUGGCACAGACAACCAAAAAGGUCACACAGCUGGAUCUGGACGGGCCAAAGGAGCUUUCGAGGAGAGAACGAGAAGAGAUUGAGAAGCAGAAGGCAAAAGAGCGUUACAUGAAAAUGCACUUGGCUGGGAAGACAGAGCAAGCCAAGGCCGACCUGGCCCGACUGGCCAUCAUCCGGAAACAGCGGGAGGAGGCUGCCCGGAAGAAGGAAGAGGAAAGGAAAGCAAAAGAUGAUGCCACAUUGUCAGGAAAACGAAUGCAGUCGCUCUCCCUGAAUAAGUAACCGCGACGUGUGGGAGGAGAUGCCGGGGACCUGGGCCACGCUGCCAGGACCUCUGCUGUGUCUUGCCCACCCUGUGCCCUGGCGCCGCUGCAACAGCCCCUCACGGCCAGGAGCCCCCCACGGCCUGGGGCCUCCUCUUCAUCUUGGCACAGAAAUUGUUUGGGGGAUGUGGGGGGGGGGGGGCGCUGGGGGAGGGGCAGCCGCUAUCUUUGAGACAGAAAGAUGCAGGACAGCAUUUCAUAUGUAACCAUUUGAAUGUUUUCGCUGUUUUUAGAAUUCAGAGCCCUUGCUGGGGGGUGCCUGGGAGAUGGGGUAAGAAGAGCUUUCAUUUGUCUGGUAGAUAGAACGUAAGGGGAUGGUUGUCCCAGGAGGCAGCUGCCGACAGGUUUGCUAUACCCAGCCCCGGACUGUGUUGCCUGGGUGCUCAUUCAGAGAGGGGCUGUCAUCCGGGAGCCUGUGCCCCUGGGUCCUCGAGGGUCAUGGCUUGUCCCUGGUCAGUUCUGUCUGGUCGAGGCCUCGCCCGUCUGCCCUUCCCUGCCCAGUUCUUACCCACCUGGCCAGGGCCAGGCCCAUUUUUACCUACCCAUUGAUCAUUUCAAGAAACCUCUGUUUACUGUGUGGCACCCAGGCAAAACAUGCUCCACAAAUUCAACUUGUAUAUUUGGCAGAUUAAACUUGACAUUAUCGUAA
Molecule: RNA transcript, 1161 nt
Organism: Rhinopithecus roxellana (golden snub-nosed monkey)
Lineage: Eukaryota; Metazoa; Chordata; Mammalia; Primates; Cercopithecidae
Gene name: 28 kDa heat- and acid-stable phosphoprotein pseudogene
Exons: 2
Source: RefSeq, a predicted model, not a curated record